Molecule: ribosomal RNA, 465 nt
Filed under: uncultured bacterium
Lineage: Bacteria
Description: partial 16S ribosomal RNA
Rfam family: Bacterial small subunit ribosomal RNA
Source: RNAcentral
GACGAACGCUGGCGGUGUGCUUAACACAUGCAAGUCGAACGGUAAGGCCCUUUCUGGGUUACACGCUUGGCUGACGGGUGGGUAACACGUACGUAACUUGCCCUCCUUUCUGUGAUAACUGUCUGAAACGGUUUCUAAUUCUUGCUAUGUGCCUGCUCGGCCUCUUUUGUGUUGGAUAGAUUUUUUGGUUGGGUAUGGAAUCGCGGGCUAUCAGCUUGUUUGUGGGGUAGUGGCUCACCAAGGCUUCGAUGGGUAGCCGGCCUGGGUGGGCGAACGGCCAAAAUGGGAAUGAGAUACGGCCCAAACUCCUACGGGAGGCAAGAGGGGGGAAUAAUGGACAAAGGACGGAAGGCUGAUGCAGCAAAGCCGCGUGCGGGAAGAAGGGCUUCGGGUUGGAAACCGCUUUCAAUUGGGAAGAAACUUUGUGUGACGGUAGCAGUAGAAGAAGCACCGGCUAACUACGUG